Molecule: long non-coding RNA, 1880 nt
Organism: Macaca fascicularis (crab-eating macaque)
Lineage: Eukaryota; Metazoa; Chordata; Mammalia; Primates; Cercopithecidae
Source: Ensembl
CCAGGCUGGAGUGCAAUGGUGCGAUCUCAGCUCACCGCAACCUCUGCCUCCUGGGUUCACAUGAUUCUCCUGCCUCAGCCUCCCGAGUAGCUGGGAUUACAAGCAUGCACCACCAUGCCCGGCUAAUUUUGUAUUUUUAGUAGAGACGGGGUUUCUCCAUGUUGGUCAGGUUGGUCUCGAACUCCCAACCUCAGGUGAUCGGCCCGCCUUGGUAUGCUGCAAUUCCCUAAGAUUUCAUCUCCAUCCCAGCCAAUCGGCAGUGGGCACCCAUUGCAUAGCCACCCCUACUUCUUCCCUCAAACUACCUCUGAAAAACCCCUAAACCAGGAACCUUCCAGGAGGUUAGUUUGAGUGAUAACUCCGUCUCCCACGUGGUGUUACUGGCCUCACAUUAAUUACGCUCUUUAGUUACUGCGAUGCUGUGAAUUGAUUUUGUUUCUGCAGAGGGCGGGAAGAACCCACUGGGCGGUUACAAUAGGUGAGAACAAGGCUUGGACUCAGUUCCAUUAAUAUACGAGUCCAGGGCCAGUACAUUCUCCACCUUGAUUGACCCAGUGGUGUUGCCUGAAAUUUUAGUUGCACCAUGAGAGAGGUGAAGUAAAUACAAGAAAUCACUUUCUGGAAACAUAUUAUUCUCAAAGAACAUUUGGAGCAAGGCAUUGAGGGAAGGGAGAUAUGAAUGAGACAAAAUUCUGCAGGUGGGGGCGGUGGACCUCAGAGAAGCCUAGAGCCCCUGGGACUGACUAUUCUCCUUUAUUAUGGGGGAAGGGGUAGAAGACAAUCCCCUUAAGCAGUGACAAAACACUUCUUUGUGCCACCUGUAACACUCAGCCCCAGUCAUGGACAGACGGCAACCGUGGUGGUCCUAGCGUCUGGCAGAACAAAAGGACCCAGAAUUCCGAGUCAGCCCAUCCUGGGAAGGCAUCCCAGCUCAACCACCUCUGAGCCAGUCGCUUAAGCCCUCUGAGCCUCACUUUGCCAUCUCUGUGAAAUGGAGCAACGCCAGCCCUGCCUCAUCAUCUGAGAUAAUGCCCGUGGCCAGCCUGGUACACUGUGAGAGGCCCACACAUACCAGCCUGCCUCUCCGCUUUGCUCAGCUGAGCCAGGAGGCUGACAUUUUCAGAAAAGUCUUGCCAAAGCACAAGGAGAAGGGCAGAAAGGGAACAAACAGAGAAAAUACCAUCCUUUCUCAAGGCUCUUUAGUUGCAAGGAAUAAAAUCCACUCAAAAUAUCUGGGACAAAAGUAGUAGCUUCCCAAGAGAACAGAGCAUCUCAGGGAACAUAGGCCCGGGUCAGAACUGUUUCUGGUGGAGUCUCCAUGCCUCUCUGGAACUCCAAUGCCUUGCUUCCCCACCCCUUCCUGUGUCGGGGCUUCCGGCUCCUCUCUGCAAACUGGCGUUUCCUGCUUCUCUAUGGGGCCACACACGUGCGUGGCACGGCUCCCUGUAGUUCAAGCCUUUAUUCAAGUGCUCAGGGGUCCGAACAGCAUCAUUCCGAAGUCUGAUUGGCCCAGCUUACUGUCAGGUAUACAUCCUGAGCCAAUCAGACGGGCCGGAGGUGGGCUCACUGAGUGGUUGCGGGGGCUAUGUCCAGGGUAAGGGCAGUGCUUACGUGCAGUGACUGGCCUCCAAGGUGGUUCCCCACAACCCUGUCUCUUGGUAUUUGUGCCCUUAUGUGCCCCCCAGCCUUGCAUGUGGGCUGGCCCAGGGACUCACUGCUAAUGAAUAGCACCUUGCAAAAGGGAUGGGAUGUCACUUCCAAGAGGAGGUUAGAAAAGCCCCGUGGCUUCCCUCUUGCUGGCCUUCUCCUAUCUCUCUUGCUUUCUCUCCUGCUCACUUGGCAGAGCCAGCUGCCAUGUCAGGCGCUUUGCAUUAAGAUCC